Molecule: unclassified non-coding RNA, 21 nt
Filed under: Mus musculus (house mouse)
Lineage: Eukaryota; Metazoa; Chordata; Mammalia; Rodentia; Muridae
Description: oocyte_clustered_small_RNA9192
Source: RNAcentral
GGAAAGGAUUUGACAAAACGC